This 355-nucleotide transfer-messenger RNA is filed under the name Deltaproteobacteria bacterium. It matches the Rfam family "transfer-messenger RNA". Rfam says of the family: Bacterial tmRNA, also known as 10Sa RNA or SsrA, is named for its dual tRNA and mRNA-like properties. Its role is to liberate the mRNA from a stalled ribosome. The record is from RNAcentral. Lineage: Bacteria; Pseudomonadati; Myxococcota; Myxococcia.
GGGGGCGCACUGGUUUCGACGGGGACAGUUGAGAUCGAGGUUGCAUGUCGAGCCCUCCGGCGACUCGGUAAUCCGCUGGAAAUAAAUAUACUCGCCGAUAAUUACGAGUACGCUCUAGCCGCGUAGGCUAGCGUCUGCCCUCUCUUUUCCUGUGAGAGGGGAGCAGGCGAGGGAAAGCAGGAUAGCUAAUUUCUCGGACCCGUUGGGAAUGAGGCGAAAAAUUUAGCGGGUUGGUCUGAUGAGUACCGUGUUCGAGGGGGACGAGUCAGGCGAGACAACAAAACUCGAAACAAACAUGUAGACGCCUCAGGUCGAAGGUUUUCGGACGCGGGUUCGAUUCCCGCCGCCUCCACCA